This 433-nucleotide ribosomal RNA is filed under the name uncultured bacterium. RNAcentral describes it as "partial 16S ribosomal RNA". It matches the Rfam family "Bacterial small subunit ribosomal RNA", at positions 29 to 507 of the family's 1533-position model. The record is from RNAcentral.
AACGAACGCUGGCGGCAUGCCUAACACAUGCAAGUCGAGCGAGACCUUCGGGUCUGGUCGCGCACGCGUGCGUAGCGCGUUGGAACCUGCCCUUGGGUUCGCCAUAACGCCCCGGAUGGGGUCCUAAUACCGGCUAUUGUCUCCCAUCCAAAGUUUUAGCGCCUUUGGAGGGGCCUCCGUGGGAUUGGAUUGUUGGUAGCGUAAAAGCCUACCAAGGCUAGGUUCCAUAGCUGGUAUGAGAGGAUGAUCACCCACACUGGGAGUGAGACACGGCCCAGACUAUUACGGGAGGCAGCAGUGGGGAAUAUUGGAAAAUGGGGGAAAGGAUGAACGAGCAAUGACGGGUGAGUGAUGAAGGCCUGAGGGUUGUAAAGCUAUUUUAUCCGGGAUGAUAAUGACAGUACCGGGAGAAUAAGCACCGGCUAACUCCGUG